RNAcentral lists this ribosomal RNA (510 nucleotides) under uncultured bacterium. RNAcentral describes it as "partial 16S ribosomal RNA". It matches the Rfam family "Bacterial small subunit ribosomal RNA", at positions 28 to 507 of the family's 1533-position model. The record is from RNAcentral.
GACGAACGCUGGCGGCGUGCUUAACACAUGCAAGUCGAACGAAGAGCGACGGAAGCUUGCUUCUAUCAAUCUUAGUGGCGAACGGGUGAGUAACGCGUAAUCAACCUGCCCUUCAGAGGGGGACAACAGUUGGAAACGACUGCUAAUACCGCAUACGAUCUAAUCUCGGCAUCGAGGAUGGAUGUAAGGUGGCCUCUACAUGUAAGCUAUCACUGAAGGCGGGGAUUUCGUCUGUUUAGCUAGUUGGAGGGGUAACGGCCCACCAAGGCGAUGAUCAGUAGGCGGUCUGAGAGGAUGAACGGCCACAUUGGGACGGAGACACGGCCCAGACUACUACGGGAGGCAGCAGUGGGGAAUCUUGCGCAAUGGACGAAAGUCUGAAGGAGCAACGCCGCGUGAGUGAUGACGGCCAUCGGGUUGUAAAGCUCUGUUAAUCGGGAAGAAAGGCCUUCUUGCGAAUAGUGAGAAGGAUUGACGGUACCGGAAGAGAAAGCCACGGCUAACUACGUG